Molecule: long non-coding RNA, 1025 nt
Organism: Pangasianodon hypophthalmus (striped catfish)
Lineage: Eukaryota; Metazoa; Chordata; Actinopteri; Siluriformes; Pangasiidae
Exons: 6
Source: RefSeq, a predicted model, not a curated record
CUGCACCCAAAAUCUGUUCAGUCAUGUAAAUCACAUGCUUAUAAUUACAGUUGUUUUCAGCUGUCUUUUUAUGAUGUUAUUAUUGUUAGAAAAAAAUAAUAAUAAUUUCAUUCAAUUAAAAGAAGAACUGUCUUAAUUGUAGCUUAUGUAUUUAAAGGACAGCAAGUUGCAUUAAGAGCAUAUGAUGGAAGAUGUUAAGGCAUUAAUGCUUUUCCAAAAUAGGAGGCCAGCAUUCACAGUAGGAAGUGUGGGGCCAUAUAACAUCCAAGUGCAAAGUUUAAACACGUUAAUGGAGGACAGCAAGGUUUCUGACGAGGUCAUGGAUUCCAUAUGUAAUGUUCUUAGCAAGGAUGAACAAACAUGUUUCUGAAGUCUUAUAAAGGAGUGACAUUCCUCUUUAAUUGACAGAAGGCUUUCACUAGUCGGCAAAAAAGAUGUUCCACCCAAAGUGCUGCAGCAGCCUACAAAGGCAAAGACAAAGGUGACAAUAUUCAGCACUUCAACAGAGGGAGAGGCGGAAGACCUUGCCGUGGCACUGGCCAAACGUGCCAAAAGAGAAGCUGCUUACUGGGAUACCCAAAGAGGACAGCCCAGCAAUACUGAGGAGCAUUGAAAGAAUGAAAAUGAAUUUGCAAAACCUUGGUCCUGAAUCGGAGCUGGAUUUAGCCACUCACCUCUUUGGGCCCACAGCAGCCAAUGUUUUCUUAUCUUUUUUGGGGAAUUGUAUGAAAUAAACUCAGCACCCAGGAUUGGCACGCAUGCACUAUCAAGUUUGUUUGUAAACAAAGAAGAAAAGUUCAGAUUACAAAACGCAGAGGAGUGAUAUUUCAUUUGAUUUUUAUUUAAUUUUACAUUACAGUUAAAAGCACAGGUGACUAAAUACAAGCUUUUAAUGAUGGUAACUUUAUGAUUACUGGAGCACUCCAGAUGUAGUGAAGAACAAAUGCAAAGUUUGAUAAAAAGGCAAAAAAAAUGCACUUGAAUAAAAGUACUUCAUUUUAACCCUUGAGUUUUGUAUUAUUUUU